AGCAGUCGAGAAUUUUUCACAAUGGGCGAAAGCCUGAUGGAGCGACGCCGCGUGGAGGAUGAAGGCCUUCGGGUUGUAAACUCCUGUCACCCUGGACCAAGGCUUUCAGGUUGAAUAAACCUGGAAGUUUGAUUGUACAGGGAGAGGAAGGGACGGCAAACUCUGUGCCAGCAGCCGCGGUAA
RNAcentral lists this ribosomal RNA (183 nucleotides) under uncultured bacterium. RNAcentral describes it as "partial 16S ribosomal RNA". It matches the Rfam family "Bacterial small subunit ribosomal RNA", at positions 350 to 523 of the family's 1533-position model. The record is from RNAcentral.